CUCCCCUUGGUGUAGUUGGUUCAUCACGUUCGACUGUAAUGGUUGCAUUGUCAUCGAAAGGUCUCUAGUUCGAUUCUGGAAGGGGAGA
RNAcentral lists this transfer RNA (88 nucleotides) under Colletotrichum falcatum. Its description in RNAcentral is "tRNA-Tyr". It matches the Rfam family "tRNA". From Rfam's summary of the family: Transfer RNA (tRNA) molecules are approximately 80 nucleotides in length. Their secondary structure includes four short double-helical elements and three loops (D, anti-codon, and T loops). Lineage: Eukaryota; Fungi; Ascomycota; Sordariomycetes; Glomerellales; Glomerellaceae. The record is from RNAcentral. RNAcentral also lists the same sequence under 3 other names.